Non-coding RNA from Nicotiana tabacum (common tobacco), 2329 nucleotides. The record is from RefSeq and is a predicted model, not a curated record. Lineage: Eukaryota; Viridiplantae; Streptophyta; Magnoliopsida; Solanales; Solanaceae.
ACAUUUCCACCUCCGCAAGUAUGGAAGCAAAGAACCUUGGAGAAGGGGCCAAAUCUCAAACACAAACCUUUAUAAUUUCCCUUUCAUCAAUCUCUCCAUAAAAACCCUAAACCUCAGCAAUUAGCAAAUAAUUGGAUCUUCAAUUCAAUGGGAUUUUUCAAAAGCACAUUCUCGUUCGUUGUGGGUACGGGUUUCGGAGUGUACUUGGCCCAAAACUACAACGUCCCCAAUAUCCAGAAGCUCGUUAACACUGGCCUUGUCAUCGCCAAGCAUCUUGAAGAGAAUUAUCGUAAACCCAAAAACAGGGCAGAUGAUGAAGAUUUGUAAGCGGUUCUUUACGGCGUCGUUUUUUAAGAACACAGCCGAAUCUCAAAGUAUACUGGAAUUAGCACGACUUGCCAAAGGGAUAAAGAGGAAUUGCAAGGUUACAUCACAUGUACAAUGAGACAGAUACCUGCUGUAAUGAGACAUUCUUGUCAAACUGAUGAUUUCCAACACAAUAUAACAAAAACAAAUCAAAAGAUUUGCUAUUUACCACUGGUCCAAGGAACUUCAUCUGUUUAUGAGCAGUUCAAUAUGUAUGAUGCUAGCAAACUGUCACCAGAUGUUUACCUAAGCCUACAUCCUGCUUAUAUACUGCAAUUGUUGCUGACAGCAGAAAGAGCUCAUUCUCCAUUGGUACCUCUAACAGCCUAUAUCAGCAUAGAAGUGCAAAGUGAUAGAAUGUCUUUUAUCUUUGCGCAGUGAGUGAUACCUAAGUCAUGCAGAUGUAAUUCAUAAUCUUUUACCUCAUUUAGAUAUCUGUUCUGAGCAUUAAUUUUCAGGAUUUCAAUGAAACAAUUUUUUCUUCAUUGGAGAUUAAGCAGAAAACAUAUGCACCAAUACCUAACAAGUGUUUCAGAUAUGCAACCAGUCCCGACCAAGAAAGAAUGAGCGGCUGUUGAAACAAUUUACGUUAUGAAGCAGUGAAGGAAACAGAUAGUAAUUUCUCUGGACAUCUUUGUUCGGUAUUGAUGCAUUUGCACACAUUAAGAUUGAUUUUAGUAUCCAUGUCAUCGAGCAUUAAAUCACUGUUAAGGUUUGGUUGAAUGGUUGUUUACUAGUUUAAAAGACAAUAUUCUGUGCAGGAAAGAGUUGAUUUUAUGAAGGGCUGAGUGUAACUUAAGCUUAAUUUACUUUUCAGUACUAAUUGGUGUCAGAUACUUUGGCAAGCUUAUUAAUCCUUUGGUUGAAAAAGUUGCGAAGGUUUUACUGAAAAUGAUUCUCAGAUCUGAUUUAGGCAUUGCCAGCCACUUAUUAGCUGUCCAUGUGUGAAACUAGUUUUACAAUGAGAGAGCUAUUUCUGAUGCACUUGAGAGUUAUUUCUGCAUUCAGUUUGUGAGAGCCUGGCUGGUAGUACUAAAGGAGUUUUCAGGAAUCAGCCUUCCCACACCAAUCAAUUCAGAGACCCAGAGCGCUAAGAAGGUGUGUUUUUUCACUUGGCUGGCAGUGAAAGAGAGAUUUUGACAGCUAAAAACUUGAGGAACAGGAGGAUUACAUAUAUCAGUUGGGGUUUUAUGUGUAAGAGUUUGGGCGAAGACGUGGACCACCACCAUUUACAUAGUGAGGUAGUAUCUUGCUUGUGAUGGAAAACCUUUAGAUAGUUCGGGCUUCAAUGGAUGAUGCCACGCACCGUGAAGGAAGCACUGUUCACCUAGACAUUUAGAAGAAAGAGAAGACAGAAGGUGUGGGAUGUUGCCCCACUAGAACUCAUGUGGAUUGUAUGGAAGAAAUAAGAGCUUGAAGGAAUAGAAAAUUAUUUUGCAUAUUUGAGGAAUAACCCCUUGUCCCUUAAGAUUCCAAUUUGGCACAAACAGGGCACAGCUAGAACCUUUUGAUUUCUUGCCUCUCUUCUUAUGUGCUAAUAUUGUUUUAUUGCUUGCAUUAAUGUCUUAUUUUAUCUUGAUUUUUUUGGACGCUUGCUUGGAUUGGUGGAUUUCUUCCUACGUGUGGUCUCAGUUGUCAAGGAUACAUGGUUGUUUAUUUAAGAUCUGACUCAAGGGUGCAUGUGGUUCUAACGGAAUAAGUUUCAUGCUUUUGUGUCUGUUGGCAAAGAUGCAGAGCACGGACAUUUUCUUUUCGUGUCUCUCUCGGCUUUCGGUGAACUGCUGUUCUUAUGGAAGUUCUCAAUUAAGCUUGAUUUUGUUUGUUGGACGGAGGGGUAGACCACACAGUGACCGUAAUAGAGAAUUACAUUUGCAAAGGUCAGUCUCCAGUUAUGCGCUACUGAGUCUGUUGUUUCUUGGUCUUUUUGGUGCUCGCAUUGUGAUGUGGAUCUUCAGCUUUGAGU